AUACGGAGGGUGCAAGCGUUACUCGGAAUCACUGGGCGUAAAGCGCGCGCAGACGGUCUUUUAAGUUGGAUGUGAAAGCCUACGGCUCAACCGUAGAACUGCAUCCAAAACUAUUAGACUAGAGUGUGGGAGAGGAAGAUGGAAUUAGUUGUGUAGAGGUAAAAUCCGUAGAGAUAACUAGGAAUACCAAAAGCGAAGGCAAUCUUCUGGAACACUACUGACGCUGUGGCGCGAAAGCGUGGGGAGCAAACAGGAUUAGAUACCCCAGUAGUCC
This 274-nucleotide ribosomal RNA is filed under the name uncultured bacterium. RNAcentral's name for it is "partial 16S ribosomal RNA". It matches the Rfam family "Bacterial small subunit ribosomal RNA", at positions 523 to 796 of the family's 1533-position model. The record is from RNAcentral.